GGAAUUUAAGGAGGGAGAGGAAGUCUGGAGAGAAAAGUGGCAGGAAAUCAUCUUCCCCGCGGAGGCAGAGGCAGAGGAGCUAAAAAUGACCCUUUGGAUCCACAGUGCCUCAGGCCCACAUGGACUGUAGAGACCCCCUACCUUCUGAGCGGCAUUUUGUUACAAACUGGUUUAAACAGACCGUCCCUUCUGGGCCGCCAGCAGCCCUGAGCCGUCCUCAGAGUGCCCCGGAACAAGCCGCAGCAGUAAAUACACGUACGCCCUUCCGACACCCAGAC
Molecule: long non-coding RNA, 278 nt
Filed under: Vulpes vulpes (red fox)
Lineage: Eukaryota; Metazoa; Chordata; Mammalia; Carnivora; Canidae
Description: lncRNA (ENSVVUG00000021434.1)
Source: RNAcentral